AGCAGCCGCGGUAAUUCCAGCUCCAAUAGCGUAUAUUAAAGUUGUUGCAGUUAAAAAGCUCGUAGUUGAAUUUCGGGAUCAAAUUGUCGGUCGUGCCUUGGUACGCACUGGCAUUACUGGUUCCUACCUUCUGAAGAACCGCCAUUGUCAUUAAUUUGGUGUCGUGGGGAAUUCAGGACUGUUACUUUGAAAAAAUUAGAGUGUUUAAAGCAGGCGCACGCUUGAAUACAUUAGCAUGGAAUAAUGAAAUAGGACGUUUGAUUCUAUUUUGUUGGUUUCUAGGAUCGACGUAAUGAUUAAUAGGGAUAGUUGGGGGCAUUAGUAUUCAAUUGUCAGAGGUGAAAUUCUUGGAUUUAUUGAAGACUAACUACUGCGAAAGCAUUUGCCAAGGAUGUUUUCAUUAAUCAAGAACGAAAGUUAGGGGAUCGAAGACGAUCAGAUACCGUCGUAGUCUUAACCAUAAACUAUGCCGACUAGGGAUCGGAUGAUGUUAAUUUUUUAAUGACUCAUUCGGCGCCUUACG
RNAcentral lists this ribosomal RNA (523 nucleotides) under uncultured Glomus. Its description in RNAcentral is "SSU rRNA". It matches the Rfam family "Eukaryotic small subunit ribosomal RNA", at positions 569 to 1092 of the family's 1831-position model. The record is from RNAcentral. Lineage: Eukaryota; Fungi; Glomeromycota; Glomeromycetes; Glomerales; Glomeraceae.